CCGGGAAACGGGCAGCUACCAUCCGCGCCGUUUCCGUGGGGUGGAGUACCGUUGGUUAUGCAAUCCUUUUUCCUGAACGGUUUUGCCUACGUUGAACAAUACCAAUUCUUGCGUUCGGAAAUGUUUUAAAUGCCUUGGUCAAAUGAUAAAGAGCGCAACAGAUAUCAUCCUAGGAAAAUAUCAAUCCUAGGAAAAUAUAUCCCUAUUUUGUAACCUGUGAGCCAACCUCCCUCGUCCGCUGUUGCAGCAGCAGAGAGAAGCGGAGUAUCAAUCUCAGGCUGUCCACGGUUUCCAGGGUGAAAUGUUCCCGUAGGAAGCUUAGAAUAGUUGAGGAAAAAAUAUCAACCGAAAAAGAAAGCGACAGAAGCCUAAUAAUAAUAAUAGCCUAAGCAUUGAGAACGGAAGAAAAGAGAACAACAAAAUCGUUCCGGAAGAUAACCCAGACGCGCUCAAUAGGCUAUCGCCUAAAGACAUACCGGAACGAUUCUUGGGGAACCUGGUCGAGUAAAGGAUGUAAAACUGUACUAACCGAUGCAUCCCAUACAAAAUGCUUAUGUGAUCGUGUAUCUACCUUCGCCAUUUUGGCACAGCAACCAAGAGAAAUAACCAUGGAGUACUCAGCGGUGCCCUCUGUCACUUUGAUCAUUGGCUGUGGUCUAUCCUGUCUCGCCUUGAUCCUGUUGCUAGUGGUCUAUGCUAUUCUAUGGAGAUAUAUCCGGUCUGAGCGGUCCAUCAUCCUAAUCAACUUCUGCCUGUCAAUCAUCUCCUCCAACCUCCUCAUCCUGGUUGGACAGACACAGACACACAAUGCGGUAGGAUUCCAUUUUCUACAGCAUGCACUUUAACUUCUUUACUCAAACACACAAUGCAGGUUGUGUAUAUAUGUUGUCUUGGAAGAGACGAACCCGUACAUACAGGCAAUUCAUGCACUUUAAUAUGCUUUAAUCAACAACAGGCACACUGUGGUACAUUAA
This is a long non-coding RNA of Salvelinus fontinalis (brook trout), 974 nucleotides long. RefSeq lists it as uncharacterized. The transcript has 4 exons. The record is from RefSeq and is a predicted model, not a curated record. Lineage: Eukaryota; Metazoa; Chordata; Actinopteri; Salmoniformes; Salmonidae.